UGUUGCCUCAUCUCGAUGGAUUAGUGGAAAGCAUUAUGCUCUUCACAAUGACCGUCAAUACCCUAGGUGAGAGGCAGGGCUGGCCUCAGCAAUUCUUCCGGGUGACAGCCUCUAAGCAGAAGCUUGAGGGGACAGUGCCAUGGCAAGGCUGCAGGCCCCCAGCAGGAAGUGGCUGGCUCAGGAGGUGGUGUCUCAGGUACUGCAGGAGUCAUCCGUCUUCUCUUCUGCACUGGGGAGUCAUUCUCUGACCUUGGGUUUACCUUUCAGAACGCUCCCAGCUCUGGACACAGGGCUUGGUGGGGACCUCCUUCGGAAGUGUCACCCUGAGGCAGAGCCAAAUGCCGCAGCAACCGCCUCUCCUCCACCCUCUUCCUCCUUCAAUGCAAGAUUGCAAUGAGAUUGGCCCAUAGGGCGGUUCAAAGAAGCAAAAAGUUAUGAUUAGGAAAUACCGGUAUUAAAUAAUUUCCCUUGGUUUCAUUUCCUCUUAUGACUGAAUCCCAGCAGGGCCUCCCAAUUCUUUUCCUUCAAUUGGCUGUUUUAUGUCCAAUUCCAGGACGGGCUGGGUCCCGACUGUAAGCAUCCCCCAACCCUCCCAAUCCCUCCUUUGAGUCCUGACCAUUUAGCCCAAGACAAUUUUAAAAUCGCAGAAGCUUAAGGCUGGAAAGCAUUUUGACAGGUCCCCCAGGCUAACGUUAUAUGCGUUUUCUCCUGUUUUGCCUGAAUUGAGCCAGAGGAGGGCUGAGCGCCUCAUGUUCCCCUGAAGCAUGCGGGCUUUGGAGGUGGCCAGGCUGGGCUGGCUCCUUCAGGGACAGCCCUGAGGCUCCCUCCCUGCAGCUGCUCACGCUGCAGCUGGCCUGCUGCCUGGACUUUCAGGGAACACCUACAGUGGGCCAGGCAUUGUAUGAAGGUAACUAGAACUAGGCUCCUGAAAACUUUAGUGGAAAUAGCAGCGCUUUGCAUUAAGUAAGAUGUGGGCUACCUUACCCUCCAGAAGGGAGAGCAUGUCCCAGUCCACAUGUAUUUCAACCAGUAUCUUUUUAAAGAAGAAUGGUACAACUAGAAUACUCAGGGUGUGGCCUGGCUGGUGCCCAGGGUGACGGGGCCAUGCCUCC
This 1112-nucleotide long non-coding RNA is filed under the name Homo sapiens (human). RNAcentral describes it as "HSALNT0049207". The record is from RNAcentral. Lineage: Eukaryota; Metazoa; Chordata; Mammalia; Primates; Hominidae.